UAGACCAAUGGUGAGUGUGUCAUGAACCAGAGAUUAUGAUUAAUUCAACUCUGUACAUCUUGAGUAUAUU
RNAcentral lists this small nucleolar RNA (70 nucleotides) under Vicugna pacos (alpaca). RNAcentral describes it as "Small nucleolar RNA SNORD112 (ENSVPAG00000017524.1)". The record is from RNAcentral. Lineage: Eukaryota; Metazoa; Chordata; Mammalia; Artiodactyla; Camelidae.